GACGAACGCUGGCGGCGUGCUUAACACAUGCAAGUCGAACGGAAAGGCCCCUUUGGGGGUCCUCGAGUGGCGAACGGGUGAGUAACACGUGAGUAACCUGCCCUUGACUUCGGGAUAACUUCAGGAAACUGGGGCUAAUACCGGAUAGGAAUCCUUGCUGCAUGGUGGGGGUUGGAAAGCUUCGGCGGUUUUGGAUGGACUCGCGGCCUAUCAGCUUGUUGGUGGGGUAGUGGCUUACCAAGGCUUUGACGGGUAGCCGGCCUGAGAGGGCGACCGGCCACAUUGGGACUGAGAUACGGCCCAGACUCCUACGGGAGGCAGCAGUGGGGAAUAUUGCACAAUGGGCGGAAGCCUGAUGCAGCAACGCCGCGUGCGGGAUGACGGCCUUCGGGUUGUAAACCGCUUUCAGCAGGGGCGAAGCUUGUGGUGACGGUACCUGCAGAAGAAGCACCGGCUAACUACGUG
Molecule: ribosomal RNA, 465 nt
Filed under: uncultured bacterium
Lineage: Bacteria
Description: partial 16S ribosomal RNA
Rfam family: Bacterial small subunit ribosomal RNA
Source: RNAcentral